Molecule: ribosomal RNA, 1080 nt
Filed under: marine sediment metagenome
Description: bacterial SSU rRNA
Rfam family: Bacterial small subunit ribosomal RNA
Source: RNAcentral
AGGCCUUCGGGUUGUAAAGCGCUUUUCUGGGGGAAGAGGAAGGACGGUACCCCAGGAAUAAGUCUCGGCUAACUACGUGCCAGCAGCCGCGGUAAAACGUAGGAGGCGAGCGUUAUCCGGAUUUACUGGGCGUAAAGCGCGUGUAGGCGGUUAGGUAAGUCGGACGUGAAAGCUCCCGGCUCAACAGGGAGAGGCCGUUCGAAACUACCUGACUUGAGGGCAGUAGAGGGAGGUGGAAUUCAGGGUGUAGCGGUGAAAUGCGUAGAUAUCCUGAGGAACACCAGUGGCGAAGGCGGCCUCCUGGGCUGACCCUGACGCUCAGACGCGAAAGCUAGGGUAGCAAACGGGAUUAGACACCCCGGUAGUCCUAGCUGUAAACGAUGCAGACUUGGUGUUGGGAGUGUAAAAACUUUCAGUGCCGGAGCUAACGCGUUAAGUCUGCCGCCUGGGGACUACGACCGCAAGGUUAAAACUCAAAGGAAUUGACGGGGGCCCGCACAAGCAGCGGAGCGUGUGGUUUAAUUCGAGGCUACGCGAAGAACCUUACCUGGGUUUGACAUGUACGUAGUAGGAAUCCGAAAGGUGACCGACCCCUCGGGGAGCGUACACAGGUGCUGCAUGGCUGUCGUCAGCUCGUGCCGUGAGGUGUCCGGUUAAGUCCGGUAACGAGCGCAACCCUUGCUCUGUGUUAUAUGUGUCACAGAGGACUGCCGGUAUAAAGCCGGAGGAAGGUGGGGAUGACGUCAAGUCAGCAUGGCCUUUAUAUCCAGGGCUACACACACGCUACAAUGGCCGGUACAAUGGGUCGCGAAGCCGCGAGGCGGAGCCAAUCCUCCAAAGCCGGUCUCAGUUCGGAUUGCAGGCUGCAACCCGCCUGCAUGAAGUCGGAGUUGCUAGUAACCGCAGGACAGCUAUACUGCGGUGAAUACGUUCCCGGGCCUUGUACACACCGCCCGUCACGUCAUGGGAGCUGGCAACACCUGAAGUCGAUGACCUAACCGCAAGGAAGGAAUCGCCCAAGGUGGGGCUGGUGACUGGGACGAAGUCGUAACAAGGUAGCUGUACCGGAAGGUGCGGCUG